GACAGAGGUGCCGAGCGUUAGGCGGAAUCACUGGGCUUAAAGCGUGUGUAGGCGGGCCGCAUAGUGCCUUGUGAAAUCCCCCGGCUCAACCGGGGAACUGCUUGGUAUACUGGCGGUCUUGAGCCACUUAGGGGCUACCGGAACAAAUGGUGGAGCGGUGAAAUGCGUAGAUAUCAUUUGGAACGCCAAUGGUGAAAACAGGUAGCUGGGAGUGUGCUGACGCUGAGACACGAAAGCCAGGGGAGCAAACAGG
This 253-nucleotide ribosomal RNA is filed under the name uncultured bacterium. Its description in RNAcentral is "partial 16S ribosomal RNA". It matches the Rfam family "Bacterial small subunit ribosomal RNA", at positions 524 to 776 of the family's 1533-position model. The record is from RNAcentral.